GACGAACGCUGGCGGCGUGCUUAACACAUGCAAGUCGUACGGUAAGGCCCUUUCGGGGGUCCACGAGUGGCGAACGGGUGAGUAACACGUGAGUAACCUGCCCACAACUUUGGGAUAACGCUAGGAAACUGGUGCUAAUACUGGAUAUGUGCCCCUGCUGCAUGGUGGGGGUUGGAAAGCUCCGGCGGUUGUGGAUGGACUCGCGGCCUAUCAGCUUGUUGGUGGGGUAGUGGCCUACCAAGGCGGCGACGGGUAGCCGGCCUGAGAGGGUGACCGGCCACAUUGGGACUGAGAUACGGCCCAGACUCCUACGGGAGGCAGCAGUGGGGAAUAUUGCACAAGGGGCGCAAGCCUGAUGCAGCAACGCCGCGUGCGGGAUGACGGCCUUCGGGUUGUAAACCGCGUUCAGCAGGGACGAAGCUUUUUGUGACGGUACCUGCAGAAGAAGCACCGGCUAACUACGUG
Molecule: ribosomal RNA, 465 nt
Filed under: uncultured bacterium
Lineage: Bacteria
Description: partial 16S ribosomal RNA
Rfam family: Bacterial small subunit ribosomal RNA
Source: RNAcentral